This is a non-coding RNA of Heterocephalus glaber (naked mole-rat), 7906 nucleotides long. NCBI's taxonomy places the organism in Eukaryota, Metazoa, Chordata, Mammalia, Rodentia, Bathyergidae. The record is from RefSeq and is a predicted model, not a curated record.
GAUAUGUGUGUUGGGGGGAGUGGUAAUUAAACAAGGCUACCAUUGUAUCUCCUCCAUCAGGAAAUCUGCCACCCCUGUCUGGGGAUGGCUUGUUUUCUCCAGCUUCCUCACACAGCCUUGGUCAGCAUCUUUCUAAGGAAACGUGGAGGUGUUGUGAGUGGGCAGAGCACAUGCAAGAGGCCCAGCCUGGACCAGGGAGAGCAAAUAGGAGACUGCUCAGUCAGAACCAGUGAGAGUGCUUUUGUUUUGAAAUAACUAAAGAAAAUAAAGAUAAACUUCCAUAGUAGGUCUUUGGUAGGCUGGGUCUUAUUGCUACUCCAAAGUGUGUGACUUUACCUUGUGCUGCAGUGAUAGAUGCUCAUGCAAUGAGAGUAUCCAUGAGUAGGAAGGUGGCGCUCCCUCUAGGUCCUCUUGCUCUGGGGCAUUCCCUCCUGGGUCUGCAGCCAGAAACAUUUUAAUGAGGGGAAUGGGUGUUCUUCCUUCCCUUCCCACUUGCUCCCAAUCCAACCCCUUGGGAAGGAAACCCUGGGAGUGACCUUCCUUUUCUAUUUGAUGGAAGCACCAAGGUGAGGUAACACAAAACACCACGCAAUACAAAUACACUAUGGGGAGGGGAUCAUUCGCCCUCUGGAGGGAGAGAAGGAAGCAGGUGGAGGAGGAAGAGGGGCCUGAGAGGUGAGAGCAGAGGGAGAGAUUAUGCUUGCCCUGACCCAGAUCCUGAAAGAGACCCCUUGAGCUGUUAGGAUUUCUGGUUUUGAAGGAUUAAGAGAAGCCAGCCAUUCACAAAUCAAGGCUCACAUCUGGAGCUUGGCUUUUGGUCUCCCCCGUCCCCCCAGAUCUAAUCCAGGAAUGAAUUCAUUAAUGGGUCCAGUGCAUUUUCAGAGACCAAACAGAAUGACGUGCUCUAAAUACUCAGUGCUAGCAGGUUCAUGGGGUGGGCUGCUCUGAUUUUCCCUCCCCCCAUUCCCUCCAUCCCUCCAGGUCCCUCUGUCUUCCCUUGACAGACUGGGGCUCAAGAGCUACAUUGCCACUGUUUAUCUCUCUUCCUCCUCAAACAUCUUACUAUAGCACUUACCGGUAUAAUAUGUGAAUUUUGUAACUAUGACUCUAUAAACCAACAGCUUCUCUUGUGUUUAGAAUGACAGAUGUCUGAAGUGCUUGUUGCUCUCUCAGUAACAACCACAAUUCUUAAUUCCUUUCUGUUCAGGUGCCCAGACCAAGAUAGACUGAGAUGAGUAUUUUAUAGUCAGUGGGUUUCCUAUUUUAAUUAUCCUCACACUAUAUAAGAUGCACUUAUGAGUGUAGGCUAUGUAUUAAGCUACAUGAAGAAAAGUACUUUAUUUAAAAGUGCUAAGCAAAACUAAGAUAGCUGUUUUUUUUUUUUUUUUUUAAUUUAAGCAGCAUUGCUUUUAAGCCUGGAAAAAAAGUAUGAGAUCUCUACACAAUUCACUCAGGCUAGGCAAAGAUCUGGGUAAAUGUGACAAAAGGUGAAACUUCUCAGCACCCAAACUUCUUUGAUAACAUACUUGUUGUGGCUUGCAUCUAGUUGUCCCCCUAAAGCCUUAUGCACUUAUAAGUGUAGUUUGUGGAGCUGGCUGGAUCCAGGGUGUAUGAUACUGGGAUUAAAGGUGUGUGACACUAAAUUAGUCCACUGAUUUGAAUUAGCAUAGUUCUGGGUGUGGAUAAUGGGAUAAUGGGAUAAUGGGUGUGGGUGGCAUUGCCCGAAAGGCUUGUAGCUUGGAUGGAAUAUAAAGUGAAAGAGGGAUGCCAGGCUCGAUGGUGCUUCUACUGCUGUUGCUGCUGCUGCUUGCUGCUUACUGCCUUCUGCCUGCCCUGCCGUGGACUGUUUCUCCUCUCUGAUACCCCUCUGCCAUGCCACCCUGCCUUGGAGCCAGCCAACUAUGCGGACUGAAACCUCUACAAACUGUGAGCUGGAAUAAACCUUUCCUUCUGAAAAGCAGCUAUAACAACACUUGUGCCCAGCACAUAUUGGGCAAUCAUGAGGCAUUACACUAAUAAGGACUAAAAACACCACAAGAUAAAAGUAAACACAAAAGCCAUCUUUUCCUGAGCUAAUGUUAUAUCUUUUCCCAAAAAGGUUAAAGCAAGCAGAUGUGCUUAUCUAAGUCAAAGGGGUCUUUUGUAAGGCCUACAUGAAAGAGCUUGACAGUUUACAACUUUAGGGUACAACUUUAGUUACAAUACAGGUGUUCCUGGAAGAUGACAAGGAACAAGAUUACCUGGAAAAUGUGUUUCUAAAAUAUCUACAUUUGCCAACUGUGACCUUUUCCCACAUCUUCAUUCUCUUAUACAAACCCUGAUCUCUCAUCCUGACUAUGCAGUUCCUCUCUUGGAAAGCUGUCAGCUGUCCUUCCUGACAGUGUACCCAGCAAUCUAAAUAAAUUCUUCUCUCUCCUGUGUUCCUUGUCUGUUGGUAAAUUCCUUUACCAACCAUGUCCCCAGUUCUCCAUCUGACACAGCAGUGUUAUUAGCCUUUGAGUCUAUUUUUUCUCAAUGUCUCCAUCAAAAUCAAUCUUCUUUAUUCUGAUUUGGUAAAAAAGUUGUUUUGGUCAUGCAAGAGGAUUAAGAUUCAUGCCAGGGAUUUAGCUCAGUGGUGCCACACCUGCCUCACAAGCUCAAGGUCCUGAGUUUGAUCCCCAGUGCCAGGGGGAAAAAUGGAGAUUCAGCCAUGAUGUCUGUGUAGCUGGUCCUAAAGGUGGAGGCUGAGAUAGAAUGGCUUUCAAGGUGUGCUACUCAAAGUGUGUACCUUGGGCCAGCAAAUUGAGGAUCAUGGGGAAGCUUACUGGGAAAGCAAUUUCCCAAUCCCUUCCCCAGUCAUACUGGAUUAGAAUAUCUGUAGACAGUCCAAGGAAACUGUUUUAACAAGCUCUCAACAUAACCCUGCUGCCCACCAAAGUUAGAGAGCACUGUCCUACAGGGCCUACCACAUGUGGGUGUCUUGUCCUCUGCUGGACAUUGUGGUACAUGAGGGAUCUGAGGGUUGGAAGGUAAAUUCUCUUGGAUAAGGGCUUAUAGUCUGGGCUGAGACAGGCUAGGCAGAGCCCCAAGAACACCUUUUACUCCUUAUGAUAUUCAGCCCCAGUAGCCUCAGUUUCUUCAUCUGUAAAAUAAAGAUGCCAGUGGUACCAAACUGCUCUAAUUGCUCUAAUAUUACAUGUCUAGCAAAUCACAAGCUCAGUACGUAUUAGCUGCUUUGUUGAUGUCAGUGGGCACCAUUUGAUGGUUACCAAAUGGAUGUAUCAACCUUAAAUUCUGUGCAUGAGCUGUCUGAGGUGACCAGUGCGGGGGCUAUUUUUAGGGUGAAAGCUUAGGUCCAGGGGCCCCAACAGACCAGGCUCAGCUACUUGUCUCCAACUCUAAUCAGGAGAACAGCAGUGGUGAGAGUUAAUUAACAUGGCCAUUCUGGGAAGCACAGCUAAAGAGGUUCAAGAUCUGAGUUCAAGGGGCUGACCAAGACCUUGGCCUUGGGGGGAACAAAAGAAAGGUUUGGGAUUUGCCUAGCUGGCAGCAUGGGUCAUCCUGGUCAAGUUGAGUCAGGACUGGUUCUGAGAGCUCCUGGGAGAACCACAUGAACCUGAGGAGCCAUCUAGUCUCCAUCAUGAGGUGGCAGUCAUGCAAUGAUGGCCCCUCCUGCAGGGGCAACCUCCAUUCCGUCAUGGGUAACGGCUCCCGCUUGGUGGGCAACCUCAUCAGGCACCUACAAGGCUCAGUUUUUCCCAAAUCCAAGGGGACUGUGGGCUUAGGACAAUGACUCCAGACUUCUAGGCAUCACUGGGGGGCUCCAGAACUGGGUAUUGUAAAAGCUGGAACUCGGAUGUUCUUACAAAUCCUGAAUGUAACUUCAGUUACUCCUCUUUCGCCAUCCUAAAUCUUGAAGGGGAUGAGACACCAGACGCAUUUAGGGCUGGUGACACAGGCAGGCCUUUCUUAAGUGUUAACCUGCCUAUGUGAGAGCUACACCCAAGUUUAAAGCAAUACAUGAAAUGAACACAAAAUGAAGGUGGGGACGCCAAGCUCCAUCCUGCUCUUAGCUACCCACUGGGCACCUCCACGUCCUGCUGUCUCACUCUGGACAUCAGCGUGCGUGAACGAGGUAUUGGCACUCUGAAAGCCUGGCCUCUCAUUAGUCACUCCCACCUCUCAUGCAGCAGGAGGCAGCAGGAUUUCUCACACACAGCAAUCAUUUCUUUCUCUGGUAAAGACAGUAAUCUUGGGAAAAGAAGGGCAAUUAUCUUAGCAGAAUUACCAACCUUGCAGGGUGACAUUAUCAACUGUUGGAAAUUACAUGGUAUUCAUUUGCUGCUAUUUUAAUGUUUGUCGUCUUCUACUUCCCCCCUUCCCCAGCCCAGUGCUGAAUCCCCUACCUUCCCACCUCCUUCUUUCUUUUGAUUAAUCCUGGGAAAUAACUUCCUUAUUUUUAGCAGGCUGAUGCUCCUAGCAGGGAUUUGAUAUUGAGGAUCAUAAUAAGGACUUCCACACUUUCAGCUGGGGCUCAGCCACCACCCUUUGGAUUUUCCAAUGGUGCUUCAGCACGUCUGUGGCUGCCAACAAGGAAAUGCCCACUGGACACCUGAUGGCUGGAUUCAAAGCUGCCUGGCUGCUCUUCCCUCCUUCAGGUUACUCUACUAGACUGGGUGAUAUUGAAAGCCAGUGACCAAAUGGUGUGAGCUUGCUAUUGUAGAGCCCAGGAAUAAGACAGGGUUGCAGUAAGUGUGUGUGUGUGUGAGUGUGUGCGUGUGUGUGCAUGUGUGUGGACUUGAGCUGAGAUGAGGAAGGGGUGGCUGCUAACACCAAGGUGAUGUGCUGACCAUGACACUGGAAGCAGGAAGCCACGGCUGGAUUCUCACUCUGCAUGUCUAUUACUUACCUUAUUUGGGUAAGUAGUUUAGCCUAUCCCAAUCUAUUAACUUUUUAAUAUAUGAAAUGGGGACUACACCAAUGAAUUCAUAUGUCACAGUGGAUUCAUGUAAAAUCCAAACUGCAUUUGAACUGGGGCUAUUAUUGUAAAAUUGAAGAAUACAUUUUGGUCUUCAACCUCAUUUCUUGGCAUAUAACUGUGAAAAUCCUUGGGAUCUUCAAAGUGAGGAAUCUUGCUGUAUGCUAAUGAGUUGGCUCAAGGCCCGCAGCCCCUAGGUGGUUUCCAGAGAGGGACUGCGCAAUGGAAAAACAGAAGCAGGAGUAGAGGGGUUGAGGCCUUCCCAUUCAGCUUCCAACUCUGGGAGAAGUGAAGAAGUGAGGAGUGAGAGGUUAAGUUGAUCACUAGUGACCAAUAACUUAAUCGAUCAUGUCUGUGUAAUGAAGCCUCCAUAAAACCCCAAAAGAAUGGGGUCUGGAGACCUCCUAGAUAACCAGACACAUGGGGGUGCAUGGAGGGGGUGCCCAGGGAGGCCUGCAGGCUCCACACCCCUUGCUGCAGCCCUUGCGGUGAGUCUGUCUCUGUAAUAUCCUUUAUAAUAAGGGGCUGAGUAAAUAUUUCCCUGAGCUACUCUGGCAAAUUAAUGGAGCCCAUGGAGAGGUUGUGGGACCCCAGAUCUGCAGCCUGUGGGCCAGAAGCCCAGGGAAACAACCCAGGAUGUGACUGGCAUCCGAAGUGGGGCUGGAGGGGCAGGCUUGGGGACUGAGCCCUAAGCCUGGGGCAUCAGAAUUGAGCCCCACUGCUGAAGACCUGCAGGUGGGGGUGAGGAAAACCCUACCACACUUAGAAUCAGACGCAGUAAGAUGGAGCGUAAGACUGGGUUUGAUUUUUUUCCCUGUAUCUUCAGAAUUGUUUCCACAGUAGUUAACAUUUCUUGAAUUCCUAUUAUGUGCUCAAUCUUGAACUAUGCCUUUUACGUACACAUCCUCCAAAACGACCCUGAGAGGUAGAUGUGAUUAUUAGUCCUAGUUUAUAGCUAUGGAAACCAAAAGUUGAUCCGAUUAAGGAGGGUGUUGAGGCUUCUCGACUAGUAACCGGCAGAGCCCUGCUAAGUGCUGGUCACUGUGCACCGUUAUUAAGGCAUCUUCUCUCCUAGCUCUGUUCCUCUUCCUAACCUUCUCCUCCCGUGCCCUUGGUCUCCAGUGAUGAGUGCCUGGUAGCCCGGAAGAGUUCCCAGGCCUUUUCCUGUUAUCCCCGAGAAGUCUCCAACGGGUGCGAGGUCCAGCAUCUCAUCUCGACCCAGAGGCAGAGAUUGACACGUGGGAGGCUGGGGCAGCCUGGUAACUUCUCAGCCUACACAGCGCCACCUGCUGGCUCCCUUCUCCUGCGCAGCCAGGAAGCAGGAGGCAGAGUGGAAGGGGAAGUCCUCAGGCACACGCUGUCUCUGGAUGUGAAGUCAGCUCUGCAGAACGUCCUGGCCGUUCGACCUUGAGGAAGCUGCGGUUCAGCUCCAGACUGUGUAACCACCUUGUGAGAAGACCUGUUCACCCUGACCCAGUCUGAGGAGGCACAGCCUGGAGAGGGGGAGAAAAGGCCAAAGCCCCCACCCCACUCUAAUUCUGUGUUGAUUCUGGUCAAGGCCCUUCAUUAAUGAAAGGCAUUAGUUUUGUUUCUCAAAGAAAAACAAUUUUAGAUACUAAGGUCGUGUGCAACCUUGGCUGAGGGUUGCUGCCGUUCUACUACUGACAGAGCAUUGCUGCAGAUGGAUUAUCACUGCUGUCAAACCUCCCAACAGGCUCUUUCUUUGGACAGCUUUCAUCAGACCUCUGAACCUUCUCCUACACCCAUUUGUGCAAGACCUUGUCAAGUCGGACUUUUUUCGGUGCAGGGGAUCAAACUCAGGACCUUCCACUUGUAAGGCAGGCACGGCGCCACUGAGCUAAAUCCCGGCCCUUCAAGUCUGAUUUUAGCAAAGAGCUCACGCCCUCAGCAUCCCUCACCCUGGUGUCUGGGGAGGCCCCUCAUCCUGUGCCAGAAGACAUCAGGUUUCCCUGUCCUGAAUGCACCCAUGAUUCUUCAGGUCAGCACAGCCCGGGUCCUGGCCCUUGCGCUUCUCCGUCAUUUUCCACCCACUGACCUCACCCUGCCUGGGCGAAGACUCCCGCUUGGCCACGCUGCAGGUGACGUGAACCCUAAUCUCAGUGCUCCCUGCAAGAUCAUACUGAGUGGUCCCGACACCCCAAUACCUGGAUGGUCCUGGACAAAGUCCUUCUUGCCACAGUUUCACAAGUGUCACUGAAUGUUUUUUUCUGUAACAUCCCCAAGAUUUUUACUCUAAGAAGCCUUUCCUGUAACCCUAAAUGCAUCCCUGGUCUGCAUAAAGUUAGUUUUCGGGUGGGGGUGACUUUUUCAAUGUCCAGCUUCUCGGUGGCCCUGAAGAAGAGGCCUCAGACCUACGCUGGACGAAUGCUGAGGUGCAGAUGUCUGGAGAGUGCAUUUCGCCCCAAGGACUACAGUUACCACAGCAAGAAGCCUGGGCCCCGUGGAGGUGGCCAGAAGCCCUGAGCACCCUGACUCUGGGAUUACGUCUUUGCUCAGAGUCCUGUUUCGCUCCCACACCCAGAUGAGACUGGCUGUCUCAACUUUCCAUGGCACAGCGACGUAGCUGAAGAUGUGACUAAAAGCAUUUGCGUUCUGUGGGCCUCUUGAAGGCAAUCAGGGUGGAUUUGGUUUGUCCGGGUCUCCAACACCAACUUCAGUGCCCAGAAAGCAAUGCAUCUUUGGUGUUUGUGGAGUGAAUGAAAGGUUAGCACAAGGGUUAGCUAUGCCGUUUUGUCAACAGCAAAGACCUUCAAGCAGUACUUCAAACCAAUGCUUUCAUAAUUCUCACAAACUAGCUCACAGAUCUAGAGUGUGUCACAUUAUAAUAUUAAAUAUAACAUUAAAAUAUUGCAUUUUAUGAUUAAACAAAAUAGGCAUUGUAAAUACCAGGAAAAAUGCAAAGAAAAUUAAAAAAUCUGUAAUCACACC